CGCCUACGGGGGGCAGCAGUGGGGAAUAUUGCACAAUGGGGGAAACCCUGAUGCAGCGACGCCGCGUGAGUGAAGAAGUAUUUCGGUAUGUAAAGCUCUAUCAGCAGGGAAGAAGCAAGACGGUACCUGACUAAGAAGCCCCGGCUAACUACGUGCCAGCAGCCGCGGUAAUACGUAGGGGGCAAGCGUUAUCCGGAUUUACUGGGUGUAAAGGGAGCGUAGACGGUAUGGCAAGUCUGAAGUGAAAGCCCAGGGCCCAACCCCGGGACUGCUUUGGAAACUGCCAUGCUGGAGGGCUGGAGAGG
This 305-nucleotide ribosomal RNA is filed under the name uncultured bacterium. RNAcentral's name for it is "bacterial SSU rRNA". It matches the Rfam family "Bacterial small subunit ribosomal RNA", at positions 336 to 657 of the family's 1533-position model. The record is from RNAcentral.